ACCCAACUGACAAGUCCCAAAUAGGACAAAGCGCGCGUCUUGGAU
Molecule: non-coding RNA, 45 nt
Filed under: Schistosoma bovis
Lineage: Eukaryota; Metazoa; Platyhelminthes; Trematoda; Strigeidida; Schistosomatidae
Also listed under: 1 other name
Source: RNAcentral